UACGAGGGGGGCAAGCGUUGUUCGGAAUUAUUGGGCGUAAAGAGCUCGUAGGCGGUUUGUCGCGUCUGCUGUGAAAUCUGGAGGCUCAACCUCCAGCCUGCAGUGGGUACGGGCAGACUAGAGUGCGGUAGGGGAGAUUGGAAUUCCUGGUGUAGCGGUGGAAUGCGCAGAUAUCAGGAGGAACACCGAUGGCGAAGGCAGAUCUCUGGGCCGUAACUGACGCUGAGGAGCGAAAGCAUGGGGAGCGAACAGG
This 253-nucleotide ribosomal RNA is filed under the name uncultured bacterium. Its description in RNAcentral is "partial 16S ribosomal RNA". It matches the Rfam family "Bacterial small subunit ribosomal RNA", at positions 524 to 776 of the family's 1533-position model. The record is from RNAcentral.